Molecule: long non-coding RNA, 1381 nt
Organism: Oryzias melastigma (Indian medaka)
Lineage: Eukaryota; Metazoa; Chordata; Actinopteri; Beloniformes; Adrianichthyidae
Exons: 2
Source: RefSeq, a predicted model, not a curated record
GUGGGGCUGUUUAACUGCCUAAGAGGACAGGCCUUCUCCCGGUCUGAAACAGGUUUUUGGGGCCAAGAAAAGUUCUAACCUGAGGCCAGCAGAGAGGGAAGACUGUCCUCUGAUGACAUCCUUGUUAUUGUUUAACAGCUAAGAUGCUGAAAUUCAUUCUAUACAUCGAUGCAGAGAAGACAAUUUAGUUAAAAAAAAACUAAUGUUGCCUGCAAAUUAUGAAUCAAAACUUCCCAAUCUGGCAACACUGGAGAAACUGAAAACUGUCCAAUAUUACUUAUUAACUUGUAAGUUAAAGGUCAUGCCAGAAAUAUUGCACGAGUGAGACCCUUUCUCUGCAGAGGCAGCACUGAAAUAUACAGUUUUAUAACCUUUUAAAUAGAUUAAUGUUCUUUCUGGUGUUAAGAAAAAAAUUAUCAGUUAUUUCAUUGUCUGGUUUUUGAUUCUUCCUGCUCAGGUCAUCUGCUUUGUCGGCUUUUGGGGUCUCCAUGGUUUUGUAUUUUUUUAGCCUAUUUAUUAAACAUUUAACCCCUUAAUGAACCACUUUGGCUCUAAAAUGAUCUAAAUUAUCAUCUAAUUAAAGCCAAAACAUAAGUGAUAUUUUUUGUUUUCAUAGCUGAAAACAAAUUCAGGCGUUAAGAGGUUAAUCUGGUCUCGGGUUUAUUUGGGUUCAGCACCACUAGUUUAUAGAACGUGUUUGUAUAGGGUUUUUUAAGGAAAGAACAUACUGGUAUUCUGCAACAGGAAAAGUCAAUUUGAGUGCGUUUAUGUAUGUGUGUUGGUCUUUUGUAUCUAUGUAUGUCUGCAUUUAGGUGUGAUUUUUUUUUUUUUUUUUUUUAAUGUAUAUAUGUUUGUGCAAUGUGAGUUUGAAUUCUGAAAGUCCUGCAGGAGUCCUCCGUGUCUCUGCUGAUCUACAGGCCUGUGUCAUGGAAAAGUGGCUCUGCAGACACACCCAUGUUUGUUGGUUUCUCUGUAAAUUCCUGUGUCUUCACGCCUCAAGAAGUGCAGAUAUCAUCUCCUCUUUGACGUCCAGACUCAUUUCUGUUCCUGAUCUCUUCAAAUGUUUAGUGUCUUUCAUUCACCUGCUCAGAGCGCCACGCCUGGACCUGUUCCCCCUGACGGUCCUGGACCCUCCUGCUGAGGAGGGGAGGGGGGCUCACUCUGACACCUCCAGCGCCGCCCGGACAAGUCUGAAGAAGGUGUUGUCACUCUGCAGAACUGGAUCCUAAAACAUGCAACACACAGAGUUUUGAAUGAAACGUUUUCUGUUUUGCAAGAAAAUGAAUCAAGAGAAAGUUUACAAAAUAAGCUCAGUUUAAGAGCUUCUUGAUGAGAUGACUCCUCUGGGGGGUUAACGACAGUAAAAAUGUUUGCCUCUUGA